AUAGUAGCGGCGAGCGAACUUGGAAGAGGGCAAACCAGAUGCUUGCAUCUGGGGUUGUAGGACUGCGUUGUAGAAUUUCAAAUCAUAGUAGAGUAACCUGGAAAGGUUAACCAUAGCGGGUGAUAGUCCCAUAUACGAAAUGAUGCGAGAUCUUAGCAGUAUCCUGAGUAGGGGCGGAACACGUGGUAUUCUGUCUGAAGCCGGGAGGACCACCUCCCAACCCUAAAUACUACUUACAGACCGAUAGUGAACCAGUACCGUGAGGGAAAGGUGAAAAGAACCCCAGUGAGGGGAGUGAAAUAGAACCUGAAACCAUUUGCUUACAAUCAUUCAGAGCCCUAUGAUUUAUCAGGGUGAUGGACUGCCUUUUGCAUAAUGAGCCUGCGAGUUGUGGUAUCUGGCGAGGUUAAGAAAACUCGGAGCCGUAGCGAAAGCGAGUCUUAAUAGGGCG
This 451-nucleotide ribosomal RNA is filed under the name uncultured bacterium. Its description in RNAcentral is "bacterial LSU rRNA". It matches the Rfam family "Bacterial large subunit ribosomal RNA", at positions 240 to 694 of the family's 2925-position model. The record is from RNAcentral.